GACGUAGGGUGCAAGCGUUGUCCGGAGUUACUGGGCGUAAAGGGCGCGUAGGCGGUUAUCCGCGUCGCACGUGAAAGCCCCCGGCUCAACCGGGGAGGGUCGUGCGAGACGGGGUAACUGGAGGCAGGGAGAGGCUGGUGGAAUUCCCGGUGUAGUGGUGAAAUGCGUAGAGAUCGGGAGGAACACCUGAGGCGAAGGCGGCCAGCUGGCCCUGACCUGACGCUGAGGCGCGAAGGCUCGGGGAGCGAACGGG
RNAcentral lists this ribosomal RNA (253 nucleotides) under uncultured bacterium. RNAcentral describes it as "partial 16S ribosomal RNA". It matches the Rfam family "Bacterial small subunit ribosomal RNA", at positions 524 to 776 of the family's 1533-position model. The record is from RNAcentral.